This 679-nucleotide long non-coding RNA is filed under the name Equus asinus (donkey). RNAcentral describes it as "lncRNA (ENSEASG00005033914.1)". Lineage: Eukaryota; Metazoa; Chordata; Mammalia; Perissodactyla; Equidae. The record is from RNAcentral.
ACUUAACACCUCCUUCCUUGCCCGGAGGCCAGAGCUCAAGCCCAUCCCCUGUGCCUACACAGCAGGUAGCUCUGUGGCCUCUACUUCCUCUUCACAGCCAUCCCUAACUUGUUUGCUGCGCCCCAGACCAUUCAGUCUUGUCUUCACCCUUUAGAAUUUCUCUGGUUCCUGACAUACACAAGGGAUUGGUCAGAGGAAUGCACCAGAAGAAAUCCUACCACACAGAAGUUUUCUGUAAAAAAAAAUGAGAUGGUGGAAUUUGAAUACAGAAGUAACUGAUCUGUUCUGAACUUAUAAUGAUGAAAUAAUGGAACAGGAAAGAGGAUUCUGACUCCGGUGUUGAGGAAUGAGGCCCAGGAUCUGAAUUUUAGAUCUCAUGGAAAAUACUAACAUUACCUUCAGCCAUGUCUCCUUACACCCCUCUUGGCUGUGACUGUUUCUCAGACCUUGCUUGCUUUUGAAGGCCUUGACAGUUUGAGCACUACGAGUCAGCACCAUGCAAGGGUUCUCAAAGUGUUGUCCUUGAACCAGCAGCAGCAGCUGCAUCACCUAGGGACAGAUCUCUCUGGUUCCAGUUUCUCUUCUGUUUUCAAAGUGAUAUGCUGAAGAGGAAGGCACAUUAUCGGGAAGUCCUGAAGAUGCACCAGUAGAAGCUGACUGAGAAGCAUUAUAUAAGACU